UACGUAGGGGGCUAGCGUUGUCCGGAUUUAUUGGGCGUAAAGAGCGUGUAGGCGGCCAGGUAGGUCUGCUGUGAAAACCCGUGGCUCAACCACGGGCCUGCAUCCGAUACUGGCGGGCUCGAGGCAGGCAGGGGAGAUCGGAAUUCCUGGUGUAGCGGUGAAAUGCGCAGAUAUCAGGAGGAACACCGGUGGCGAAGGCGGAUCUCUGGGCCUGUCCUGACGCUCAGGCGCGAAAGCUAGGGGAGCAAACAGG
This 253-nucleotide ribosomal RNA is filed under the name uncultured bacterium. RNAcentral's name for it is "partial 16S ribosomal RNA". It matches the Rfam family "Bacterial small subunit ribosomal RNA", at positions 524 to 776 of the family's 1533-position model. The record is from RNAcentral.